UUCCGUAGGUGAACCUGCGGAAGGAUCAUUCACACGAAUUAAUCCAACCAUACCAUUGUGAAUCUCCCGCUGUGAGGUUUCCGUCUGGGGUUGACUUGCGCGGUUCUCCCACGCAUGGCCCUCGGGCGGGACCUCGAGGGUGGUGGGGCUGACUCGGAGCAUUCUCCUCGUCCGCCGCCUGCCACCGGGCUUCCUUACACUCAUAACAAACCUCGUGCCAAUUCUUCUUUCAUAUUCCUGUGUUGCUCUGGUGAGCUUGCUCGCCUUGCGGCAUAGAUUCAAGUGAAUUACAACUUUCAGCGACGGAUGUCUCGGCUCGAACAACGAUGAAGGGCGCAGCGAAGUGUGAUAAACAUUGUGAAUUGCAGAAUUCCGUGAACCAAUGGGACCUUGAACGUAUACUGCACCGUCGGGUUAUCCCUGACGGUAUGCCUUCUUCGGUGUCUAACUCCCUCUUUGCGUCUCGCGCGUUUUCUAAUGCGCGUCUCGCGUGUCUGCGCGCCAGGGCGCUCUCUCGCAAGAGUGAGCCACUGACGCGUUCAAUGAAUUGGGGCAACCACGACGAGCAACUUAAAACUCAACUCGUUUGUUUUUUGUGUUGCGCUUCGCCGUGUGUCUGUUCCCAUUCCUCACCCUGCCGAUGGAGCAUCUCUCUCCAUCCAAGACACGAAGUGAGGUCAGAAAACCCGCUGAAUUUAAGCAUAUCAAUAAGCGGAG
RNAcentral lists this ribosomal RNA (717 nucleotides) under uncultured eukaryote. RNAcentral's name for it is "eukaryotic LSU rRNA". The stretch from base 292 to 446 matches the Rfam family "5.8S ribosomal RNA". The record is from RNAcentral.